UCUGGAGAUCCCUUUUCUAUGGAGUCUUUCUUGCCAACCUAGAUCUUUGGAUGCAGGCUGUGGGAGAAGUGUGAGCUCUCUGUCUAUUACAAGGGACCAUGGGAGAGGACUGAGUGCAGAAGAGCUUUGGGAUGUCAAGUCUCCAGAUGGUUACUGUCAGAGAGUUGGUAAUGCCUGUUCCCAAAGAGCUGUGGUUCAGCUUGGAGCAUUGAGCAGCAUCUCCAGAGGACAAAUUAAGGAAGAAACAGCUCUGAGGUUGUACCAGACCUGGAAAGAAAUUAUGCGUCAGCUGCUUGGAAAGGAGACUUAAUGCCAGGAAAAAAAAAACCCAAACACUUCAAACAAAAGGUUACUUACUGGCACUGAACCUAUGUUUAUGGCCAGCAUACACCAACCUCACCCCUGCAGGAUGGAAGGCAGCAGCUUCUUGGAGAAGCCCAGAUCCUACUACUGUGAUGUGCUGAUGGAUGGGAGUCUGCACGACAAGCGAUGAAAUGCAAUGAGAGGCAUACAGAAUUAAGCUGUUGUUAUAGUCUGCUUGGACUGGACACCAACUGGAACAGAAAAGUGAACCCUUGUGCAAUGAAUAACAAAAAUAGAAGGAACAUGAGGUAAAGUUACAAGGUGAAGAAUUAGUGCCAGUGUUACAAAUGGUGACAAAUUUUGACCUAUGUUUAUGGCCAGCAUACACCAACCUCACCCCUGCAGGAUGGAAGGCAGCAGCUUCUUGACCUUGCCACCUCACAGUCCGUGAUUAUAUCACCAGCUGGGACAUGUGCUGGAGAGGAAUAAAGUGAGCUCGAGCCAGAUAAUAAUAAUUUUUCCAUUCACAGGGAGUGUGUGAAUCUCCUUGAGGAACAGAAUGCCUGAAAUCAUUGGAUUCCAGGGUAGCUCAGCCUAUGACAGACUCAAACGUAUGAUUGCAGCUCUUAAAGUGUAAUGAGACCCAACUGUACAGUGAAACAUUUCCAGACAUACAUAUGUGAUACAGGAAAAAUCAGGUGCAAAAAUUUCUCUGUUGUCUGGUCAUAAACUGCAAAAAAUAUUCUCUGUAAACUGUAAAAAUCCAGUGAACUCUCUAACACAAAACUUAGUUUAUGUUCACACCCACCACACUUCUCUUUAGAGUUUAAGUAUCUUCAGAAUAGAAGUUGUGAGUUUUGGGUUGUUUUGGGUUUGUUCAGGUUUUUUUUUUUUUGCUGUUUUGUUUUGCUUUGUUUUUAAUAAUACGUGCCCAGAAGAAGGGACUUGAAUCCUCCUCUUCUGUUCAGGAAGAAAGAAAGAAUUUUCAUGCCUGUUAAUAUAUGAAUGUAUAUAUAAAUCCAGAGUUGUACUGGACUUUCAAUAGCAUUAUGUUCAGCUGAGUGGCACCAUCAUAAGAGAGCCCCACGUUCACCAAGGGCUUGUGGAAGAGAGAGGGUAGCAAGGAGAAGGCACAAUAGGUACUAAGAGAUGAUAGUCAUUUGAAAAAGCAGGUAACAUUGAAAAAGUGAUGUAAAAUAAGCAAUUCAGAGUAACUGAUCAAAAUUUCAAUAGCCGGUUCAGCUGAAUGGGACUAAAUCCAUCUACCAUGCUGUAUGCAUAUGAUAGGUAGGUACUGCCCUCUUUUUGUAUCUUGUCUCAUAAGAACACUAUGCUAAAGUAAUAAAAUAGUUCAGCAGUUGGAGACAAGGUAGAGGUUUGUGGGGGUGUGGGGGAGAAGCCAAUGUCUCUGGCUGGCCAGACUGGAUUAGGACAGUGUUUUUUGAAUGGCAUAAACACCUUGUGUAUCAUUGGAGUACAUGAUGUCAAGGACAUUUUACAUUUGAAAUUUGAGAGAAAACAGUGAUUUUUAUAAAAAGUCCUUUUAAACUUAGUUCCAGCAAUAAAUUAUGCUUUCUGGCAGUAGAAAAUAAGAAUUCACAUUAGCAAACCCAAAUGGUUCUAGAAGGACUGCUAUUCACCAUUAUUGUUCGGAAAACCAAUUUUAUUAUUCUUGUAUGAAAAAGUUCUAGCUUAAAAUUGUCCACAGUCUUUACAGCGUUUCACAAGACUACAAGAAUGUUCUCUAGAGAUCAUCAUUUUUUUUUUCACAAAUCUUGCACCUAGUAAUCCCUUGGGUUUUCAACCAUAUAGAAAUAGAGAGUAGGUAUUCUAUGAAGAAUGAUUAGGUUGUCCAUACAAAGCUCAGACUAGGAAUUUAAAUAAAUAAAUAAGACAGAAAAUAAAGAGAAAAAUGAGGAAGAGAAAAUAUUUUAGUGAAAUACUACAAUUCUAACAUCUGUUUCUCUAAAAUCAGUACUCCACAAUUCAGUGGAAAAAAAAUUGUUUUUUUUUAAAUGGACACAAUCAGAUUACAGGAAAUUUCACUCGUACAGAAAGGUUUAUGGAUUUGAUAUUGUAUUGAUUGCACUCUAAGUAGGCUAGCAUAGACUUCUGGUCCACGCGUAUUUCUGCGUUCAUUCCCAAUAAAAGAACUGAAGCUAAAAUGUCCAUAUACUCUUUCAAAAUACCAGGUAGAUGUGAGAAGUGUUAUACAUGAAUUAGAAAACAAAAACUAGUUUUAAAAUCUUGAACAGGCCCAGAUUAAGACUCCAGUAACCCAGUGGCAAAUUGCAAGAAUGUUCUGAUCCAAAAGAAAUUUCCCAAGAGUAAAGUUGAUUUUAUGCAUAGGAGAAGCUAGAGGGGGAAGCAGGUUUUAGAAAUGCAAAACUGGCAGCAGUAUUAAAUCACAGGCUUAAGUUGCUCAUUUGUAUGAAACAGUAGCUUAUAUUGUAGAUGCAUAUAAAGUACAUGUAGUUCACAGAAGCAAGGUGAAAAUGAGUUUGCAAAGUGUUAAUGAGAUCUUCCUAAAGUCAGCCAGUCUUUGGUAGUCUAGAAGAGAGGAAAAAAUGCAUUAGCUGCUAAGUUCUUAAAUGACUAAUUCUAGCAUAGUCUUUCUGAUCACAUGAUGCACACUCUACUAGUGAAAUCAGAAUUGUGUAUAUACUUGCAAAGUAUUUUUAGAAAGCUAUGAAGAAUUAUCUGGAAGGAAAUUGGAGGAGAGAAUUGCCCUAAAUUAUGCAAAUACUUUAAUAUAAUGUGAUUUAUCUGAGAAAAUUCACUGGAAGAAUAACUACAGUCUCUAAAAAGGCUACAGUAAAUCACUAUAUACUUUUUCCUUCUGUAUAUUGUUCAUAGCUAGGUUUGUAGUUUAAUUUCUACAAGUACUGUGAGAAAUCACUUAGCCUGGAAAGUUUUCAGGGCUUCUAUUACUUUUUGCAAACUUAAAAUCCCUAUGUGACUCUAUACCCCAAACUGCUGUUCUGCUGUUAAAGCUGUGAGUUUCUUCUCUUGCGCUCUUGUUGCUGUCAUGAUUAUUUCAAGGCUAAAGGGAGCAUCCUGAUUGUCAAGUCCAAAUGCAAGUUUUUGAUGGAACAGCAGGCUACUGCUCUGUUUCUGGAGACCCUCCUGGCUCUACUUUCAAAGGGUUUUUGCCUAACUCCCAAGCUGCACCUGGUCAUUGUUACUGAAUGAAGAAGGAAAAGAUGGUCCAUGUGAAAUGGCCUGGAAAUAGUUUGCCUGCUGGUAUCCACAUUUUUCACAGUCCACAUUGUUUUCAGGGUGAAUUUUGUGAGGUAGUGCUUUAUUUCCAAAGUAUUAUGAGAUAGUUGAAGUUGAAGUUUCUAUGAAAUAAUCAGAAAUUUUAAACUAUUAACUCCUAAGAUAUUGAUCCUGGUAAUGACAUAACCUCUUCUUAUAUUUUUCCAAAUGUAACAGGUAAAUGUUUAACAUUGACUUAAGCCUUUAGGAGUCUAAGAUAUUCAACAAUCUGACUUGUUCCAGUAUGAAGAAUGGAAAACAACUAAGAGAUCAGGAUGGUAGGUAGAGAAAGGAAUGAUAAUUACAGCAAGGGCAGAAAGAAUAGAGAUAAGUGUCUGCAACAACUCCAGUGUGGUGAAAGACCUGAAUCCAAAAAGGUGCAGAAAAGUCCAUUAAAAUGAAUGUUUAUUUUCAUGGUUUUAUAUAGUUUGUGAAUAAUCCAUGUAAUGAAAUGGCAUCAUACAAAACAUCACAGUAGAGUCAGGAUUCAAUUAGUACUUUUCUUCCUCUUAUAUCAUUUAAAUCUUUAUUAAAAAUGAGAAAAAUAUAGCUAUAGUUUCUUGUUAUUGCCAAGGGAAAGGAUGGCUAAUAUAAAAAAUUAAAGAUAAUAAAUAAAAAAAGUAGAGGAACACUGAUAAAUAUGAUAAACAUUGCAGGAACAGUUAUAAUAUCUCUUUAGUAAAAUCAACAAAACAAAGACAGUUUAUUCUCCUCACAUUGUGUGUAUAAAUACAUAUCUAUAUACAUUUGUCAAUGACUGUGGUAUAGGGCAUGGUUUGCAUAAUUAAAAGAUUCUCAGUGAGUGAGCUGUUAUAUAUUUCUCUAUUGUUGUCAUCUGCAAAAAGUUUCCCUUAAAAAUCAACCAGAUCAGCUUCUUAUACUACAUCUAUAAAGUACAAAUGGUCAAAAAAGAAUGAAGAAAAAUACACAAAACAAAUAAUCACCCAAUCUCAGUGUGUGAAGUAUCUUCAUUUUAUGAUCUUCAUUUAAUACCCUAAACAAAUGCAUUUGCAAAGCCUAAUGAAAUAUCAAUUAUUAAAUACCACUUCUGCUCAGUACUUUUUUAUACAAUGAUCUUGUUCUGUCUUUUGUAUUAAUCAAGGAAUUAUGUAACUGUGAAAACAUGGUAGUGGAAGCUGGGGUAAAGAAGUGAAGAUUACAGUAAUUAUAAAGAGGUUGUUUGGAUAUAUCAGAGAAAGUGCCCCUGGUAAGCAAAAGAGAAGGGAAGGUGCAAUUUAGUUUAGGGAGUAAGAUAUGUUUGAGAGGGUAUGCGGGGAGGACAAGAUGAGAAAUAUUCCAGGCUGCCAUUUU
Molecule: non-coding RNA, 4872 nt
Organism: Meleagris gallopavo (turkey)
Lineage: Eukaryota; Metazoa; Chordata; Aves; Galliformes; Phasianidae
Source: RefSeq, a predicted model, not a curated record